UAGAACGAAAUUCAUAACAGUGUGGUCGACAGUAAAACGUUUAUUAGUAAUUGUACUGAAAAGUUUACCUUUAACUUGUUUGUCGUGGGCGAUGAUUUUAUGCUCACUCAGUCUAUCGGAGGCCUUCAAGUGGGGAUUUAAAUAAUCAUUUGUUACACAUUUUGAUACAUAAAAUGAAACUUUCUUUUCACAUAUCAUUUAAGGAAUUUAUUUUAAAUAAUUGUUAUACCAUCACUUACAACAGUUUCACUUUUAAGAAUAUUAAUGUCCAGAGCUGAUAUCAAUAAAUAAUAAUAAAAAAAAAAAAAGUUUAUUCAUGGUAAAAAAAACCAAAAAAACUUUUAAGUUAAUAGGGACCCGCGUUAUUUCAGAAAAUAUCUUAUUGAUUAAGAGAACAAAAACUUCUACGUUGUGAUCAUUUAAGAGUGGCCUUCUAUUUAUUCAAUGCUAACCAUGUGGGCUUUGUUUUUUUUAUAUAUACCAUAAAUCGAUUCGUUCAUUCAGAUAUUUGUCAGUUUGCCUUGGCUCUUCAAGUCCAACACACAACUUCUCACGAAAUUGGUAUUUUUCUUACAAAAAUUACAUCCAUGUGAUGUAUUCUUUUCACGGAGAAUGAAUGUUGCACCGUAUUUUAUUUGUUAUCGUUUUUUUUUUUGUGUGUAUCAUUGACGUAUAAGACAACCUGAAUCUUCUUUAUUCAAAUUUAAAACAUACGAGA
RNAcentral lists this long non-coding RNA (718 nucleotides) under Mytilus galloprovincialis (Mediterranean mussel). Lineage: Eukaryota; Metazoa; Mollusca; Bivalvia; Mytilida; Mytilidae. The record is from RNAcentral.